GUGCUCGCUUCGGCAGCACGUAUACUAAAACUGGAACGAUAUGGAGAAAAUUAGCAUGGCCCCUGCGCAAGGAUGACACAUGCAAAUUUGUGAAGCGUUCCAUAUUUUU
RNAcentral lists this small nuclear RNA (109 nucleotides) under Nannospalax galili (Upper Galilee mountains blind mole rat). The record is from RNAcentral. Lineage: Eukaryota; Metazoa; Chordata; Mammalia; Rodentia; Spalacidae.